This 97-nucleotide small RNA is filed under the name Salmonella enterica subsp. enterica serovar Enteritidis. RNAcentral describes it as "partial RtT sRNA". It matches the Rfam family "RtT RNA", at positions 47 to 130 of the family's 130-position model. Rfam says of the family: This family represents a bacterial cis-regulatory element known as RtT RNA. The exact function of RtT is unknown although it is thought that it may be involved in changing the cellular response in relation to amino acid starvation. The record is from RNAcentral. Lineage: Bacteria; Pseudomonadati; Pseudomonadota; Gammaproteobacteria; Enterobacterales; Enterobacteriaceae.
CUCACGCGGCCCCUCCCCCUCAGCGAGAAAGCGUUGCCGCAGGCAACGACCCGAAGGGCGAAGCGCGCAGCGCUGAGUCAUCCUUCCCCCACCACCA